This 253-nucleotide unclassified non-coding RNA is filed under the name uncultured fungus. RNAcentral describes it as "sequence contains ITS1". The record is from RNAcentral. Lineage: Eukaryota; Fungi.
GUAUUAAUUUUCUGCCUUGCGGCAAGUAAACAUUCGUAUAACAUUAAAGAGUUUGUUUUGUGUUUAACAAAGUCCUGAUAUCCCCUCUAUCCAGCGCUCAGUUGCCUGAUUGCCAUCCAGAAAACAACACAGAACCUUGAAAAGUGUGCACAGGUGUAUAUGGAUUUAAGAGAAGCGAGCACAUUCGAGUAAACGACAGCAUCAACUCCUCUAUAAUUCGUUAAUGAUCCUUCCGCAGGUUCACCUACGGAAA